GGGGAAUAUCCCUGAUGCAUUUGCUAACCUAGCCUUUGAAAACAGUUUCUUGAACAAUCCCAGCCUUUGUACCACCAACUCUCUUCCGUAUCUUCCAAGUUGUAAUAAUGCCAAAGUCACCGAUUCCAAAAGAUUGUCCCAUAGAGUCCUAGCCCUGAUUCUGGUCCUUGCAUUCGCUGUUUUCCUAUUUAGUGUUGUAUCAACCUUGUUCUUGGUUAGAGACUACAGGAGGAAGAAGCAUAAGCGCGAUGUUGCAAGCUGGAAGUUGACUUCAUUCCAGAGGUUGGAUUUCACAGAGGCAAACAUUUUGUCAAGUUUGACGGAAAAUAACAUGAUUGGAAGUGGUGGAUCGGGUAAGGUGUACAGAAUUUCCGUUGGCAGACCAAAU
Molecule: unclassified non-coding RNA, 388 nt
Filed under: Hevea brasiliensis (rubber tree)
Lineage: Eukaryota; Viridiplantae; Streptophyta; Magnoliopsida; Malpighiales; Euphorbiaceae
Source: RNAcentral